This 1822-nucleotide long non-coding RNA is filed under the name Piliocolobus tephrosceles (Ugandan red Colobus). RNAcentral's name for it is "lncRNA (ENSPTEG00000015555.1)". The record is from RNAcentral. Lineage: Eukaryota; Metazoa; Chordata; Mammalia; Primates; Cercopithecidae.
UAUAUAUACAUACAUACAUAAACAAAGAAAUAAGCUAUAUAAUUUUAUAACUAUUCAAACAUAAGUAUAUAUACUUUGAACACAUUUUCCUUUCCUUUCCUCUUUUUUUUUUUUUUAGGCAGUAAAAAAAGCGAAACAUUUGUUACAGAAUUAUUAAAUCUUUUAAUUUCUUGUGAAAAAGGAGAAAAGGGAGAUAACAUUCAUUCAAUUAUUGAAAACAAAAAAAAAGAAAUGAAAGAAGUUAUCAGUGAAAAUAAUGAUAUAAUAGAAGAUAUAAAAAAUAUAGAAAGUUUGUACAUGGAUAGUAAUAUAUUGGAAACUAACAACCAAGGUAGUAAUAAUUUUAUAAAAAAAUCAAAAGAUAAAGAAAAUGUGAACAUAUUAAAAGAAAAAGGUAAUAGGUACAAUGAAAGAAACAAAAUAAAAAAUAGCAAAUCGAAUACACCCUGUGGAAAAAUAUCCUUGUCAAUAUCUCCAUCAAACUCGAGAACUAACUCAAGAACUAAUUCGAGAAAUAAUUCGAGAAAUAAUUCGAGAACUAAUUCNNNNNNNNNNAGAACUAAUUCGAGAAAUAAUUCGAGAAAUAAUUCGAGAACUAAUUCGAGAAAUAAUUCGAGAAAUAAUUCGAGAAAUAAUUUGAGAAAUAAUUCGAUAAAUAAUUCGAGAAAUAACUCGAUAAAUAAUUCGAGAAAUAAUUCGAUAAAUAAUUCGAGAAAUAAUUCGAGAAAUAAUUCGAGAAAUAACUCGAGGAUUGGAUCAACAUCGACAUUAAAAUAUAGACAUACGUCCAGAUCUGUAAGUGGUUCUUGGUCAAACAGUUAUAAAAAUAAACGAAACAAUCAAAAAAUAAAACAUAAAAGAAGUAGUAAAAGUAUUGCAAGUUAUGAUACGAGUAGAAAUAGCAGCAGUAAUAAUAGUAGUGUAUUAUAUAAAAGAAAAACGACAAAACAUAAAAUUAAACAAAAACAAAAAAAUAGUUCCAGUUACGAGAAAAAAAGAAACGGACAUUAUUAUAAUAAUCACAAAGAAAGAAAAAGAGAAAAGAAAAUAGAUAAAAAAAAUUAUAAAUAUGGAGAUAGGGAUCGAGAUAGGGACAGAGAUAGAGACAGAGAUAGAGACAGAGAUAGGGACAGAGAUAGGGGCCGAGAUAGGGACCGAGAUAGGGACAGAGAUAAGGAUUAUUACAUGGGUCGGGAUAGGUAUAAAGACUAUAAGAGAGAUAAAAUAAGAUAUAAAUAUAAAGAUGAUAGAUAUAAAGAUGAUAGAUAUAAAGAUGAUAGAUAUAAAGAUGAUAGGUAUAAAGACAAUAGGUAUGAGGAUAGGCAUAGUGAUAGAUAUACAUAUAAACAUACUGAUAGGUCCACAAAUAGACAUGGAGAUAGAGAUAGAGAUCGAUAUAGAGAAAGAAAAUCGUCAGAAGCAACUCGAUCUGAUGAAGAAAAGUCUGAAAGUUCAUCAAGUAGUGAUAUAAAAAAUAAUAAUUUAAAAAAUAGAAAAAAGGAAAUAAAUAAAUAUGAAAAGGAUAGCAGUUUAUCAAGUUCAGACAAAAGUUCUAAUCGUUCAUACAUAUCGUCAUGUUCAUCUUCAAGGUCAAUUAAAAAAAAAAGUGUGGUUGAUUAUGUAGGAACUAAUAAAAAUGAUAAAAAUUCUUUAAAAAAAAAAAAAAGAAAUAGUUUGUCAUCAGAAGAAGACAGUAAAAUUAAAGUAAUAAACAAUAUAAUGAGUAAAAAAAGUUAUAAGAAUUCUAAGAAAAGACUAAGGGCUUGGUCGUCAUCAGAAAGUGUUGAAACUUAGCAAAAUAAAAUGGCACACGAAUAAAACA